ACGGAGGGUGCAAGCGUUAAUCGGAAUUACUGGGCGUAAAGCGCACGCAGGUGGCUGAGUCAGUCGAUUGUGAAAGCCCUGGGCUUAACCUGGGAAUUGCAGUCGAUACUACUCAGCUAGAGUAUGGGAGAGGGUAGUGGAAUUCCCGGUGUAGCGGUGAAAUGCGUAGAGAUCCGGAAGAACACCGGAGGCGAAGGCGGCUUGCUGGGCAUGAUCUGACGCUGAGGCGCGAAAGCGUGGGGAGCAAACAGGA
RNAcentral lists this ribosomal RNA (253 nucleotides) under uncultured prokaryote. RNAcentral describes it as "partial 16S ribosomal RNA". It matches the Rfam family "Bacterial small subunit ribosomal RNA", at positions 525 to 777 of the family's 1533-position model. The record is from RNAcentral.